Molecule: ribosomal RNA, 253 nt
Filed under: uncultured bacterium
Lineage: Bacteria
Description: partial 16S ribosomal RNA
Rfam family: Bacterial small subunit ribosomal RNA
Source: RNAcentral
UACGUAGGGUCCAAGCGUUAAUCGGAAUUACUGGGCGUAAAGCGUGCGCAGGCGGUUCUGAAAGUCCGCUGUGAAAGCCCCGGGCUUAACCUGGGAAUUGCGGUUGAAACUACAGGGCUAGAAUCUGGCAGAGGGGGGUGGAAUUCCACGUGUAGCAGUGAAAUGCGUAGAGAUGUGGAGGAACACCGAUGGCGAAGGCAGCCCCCUGGGCUGAGAUUGACGCUCAGGCACGAAAGCGUGGGGAGCAAACAGG